RNAcentral lists this ribosomal RNA (497 nucleotides) under uncultured bacterium. Its description in RNAcentral is "partial 16S ribosomal RNA". It matches the Rfam family "Bacterial small subunit ribosomal RNA", at positions 28 to 507 of the family's 1533-position model. The record is from RNAcentral.
GACGAACGCUGGCGGCGUGCCUAAUACAUGCAAGUUGAGCGCUGAAGGUUGGUACUUGUACCAACUGGAUGAGCAGCGAACGGGUGAGUAACGCGUGGGGAAUCUGCCUUUGAGCGGGGGACAACAUUUGGAAACGAAUGCUAAUACCGCAUAAAAACUUUAAACACAAGUUUUAAGUUUGAAAGAUGCAAUUGCAUCACUCAAAGAUGAUCCCGCGUUGUAUUAGCUAGUUGGUGAGGUAAAGGCUCACCAAGGCGAUGAUACAUAGCCGACCUGAGAGGGUGAUCGGCCACAUUGGGACUGCGACACGGCCCAAACUCCUUCGGGAGGCAGCAGUAGGGAAUCUUCGGCAAUGGACGAAAGUCUGACCGAGCAACGCCGCGUGAGUGAAGAAGGUUUUCGGAUCGUAAAACUCUGUUGGUAGAGAAGAACGUUGGUGAGAGUGGAAAGCUCAUCAAGUGACGGUAACUACCCAGAAAGGGACGGCUAACUACGUG